AGGCGCGUAGCUCAGUGGUCAGAGUCCCUCGCUGAUAACGAGGUUGUCAGCGGUUCAACUCCGCUCGCGCCUA
RNAcentral lists this transfer RNA (73 nucleotides) under Haloarcula amylolytica JCM 13557. Its description in RNAcentral is "tRNA-Ile". It matches the Rfam family "tRNA". From Rfam's summary of the family: Transfer RNA (tRNA) molecules are approximately 80 nucleotides in length. Their secondary structure includes four short double-helical elements and three loops (D, anti-codon, and T loops). Lineage: Archaea; Methanobacteriati; Methanobacteriota; Halobacteria; Halobacteriales; Haloarculaceae. The record is from RNAcentral.